AGUUGGUUCCCGGAGGCAGAAUCUGUUAAACUGACAAAGCCCACGUCUCCGGGUCCCUGUCUCGGGGAGUCGGGACUAUUGGGUCACCCCGGGUAGUCGAGACUCUAGACUGAGCUGUCUCGGUCACUCAGGAGGCAGUUGGCAGAGUAUUCGUGGUCAGGGAGGUGACCCGUGGUCAGCAGGGUCAGGCCACCCAGGGACAAAGGGUGCUCCUGCACCGGGCCUUGGAGAAGGACAGAGCGGUGGGGACUUGGGGUCAGCGGGGGAGCCUCCGCGGAUGGGGAGUCACCACCUGCCGGCAAUCAGCCAUGACUGCCUUUGCACUGUCCAUGCUCUCAGCCCACCACCUCCUCCCCCUGCCAUUGCAGUGGCUAACACUGGAGACGAAGACCAAGACACCACAGCCUUUCUCCAGUACCUCUCAAAUCAGCACAGACAAGGACAAAGGCCUCAAUCCACAACUGCUGAAGAUGGACCCUGGCCACAUGGGAUGGUCAGACACGCCUGCCCAGCUAUCUGCAGGCGAAGAGGCUCAGAAGAGGUUUAGGGGCCUGAAGGACAUCUUGCUUCCAUGUCCAUAUGAGCAGGCUAUUUCUGCUCCAUGAGUCAAUUUUGCCAUAUAAAAUACUUAAUUUCAGCCAUUCCAGGGUGCUAUAGGAUGCACAGCUUCCCAUCAGCCCACCUGAACUCCAGCCAUGCCAUUUUAAUACCAGGAAUAAGGUCACCUGCUUUCCUGCCCCUUAGGAGGCCGGAGCCGUGGAAGCAAAAUGGCACUUCUGUUUACCUGUUAUAUUAUUUUUUUGUCAUCCUUAUAUGUUUGAAAAAUGCAAUUAUAUGAAAAAAGUUUAGUAAUUACAGACAUAACAGCAGAAAGUCCUCGGAACCAAGCUUAUUCUCAUGGCCGAUUCUGCUCCACCUGGGACUCUGCUGUGCUGCGGGCAUCCUGUGGUCAGAAUCGCAGAGGGGCCAUCAGGGAGGACCUUCCCAGAGGAUGGACCUCACGUGACUGCUGCGUGGGCAAGUGGCACUGGCCACUCUGCCUGGAGAGAGGAGUAAAUGCAGGGCUGGCCAGGCGACCUGCACACUCUGCUACCGGCCUUGUCCAUCUUUAGCCUCUAAUUUGAAAAUGAGGAUCACACAGACCAAGAGUAUCUUUGAGGGUUAGUACAGACCACAGAAAUGCCCUGGGCCUUUCACUCUCUCCUUUUGCAAAUUCCCAUGUGUGGAAAUGCCGUUUGGAUAAUGAGGGAGCCUGAAGGAGGUGGACACAUGAGCAGCCCCGACAGGCCUGGCUCCAUCCUCUGAAAAUGGGGCCCCGUGCCCGGCGUGUGGCCUUACUGGUUCAGUCUUCUUUACAGUGGUAGGUUUUGAGUGCCCAGAUGCCCAGUGCCUCCUACCCGGAACAGGACAGGACCAGGCUGUCCCCUGGAAGAAUCCCAUGCACACUUGGCUAUUCAGGGAGUUUCCACCCAGCCGAGCUCGCCUCUGUGGCUACCCUGGUCUUGCUGCUCAUAUCUGCCAGGAAAGGCCUGGACUUGGAGAGAAACCUGGGAUUUGGAUUCAGUCCUUGCCAGCCUGGCUGGUUCAUAUCCUUACCUCUGUCUGUGGAAGCCUAUGUUCCUGAGCAGCGAGUCAGAGGGGGCAUCUGAACGCAGAGCAGGGAGCUUCAGAUGGGAAGAAGUCAGAGGAACCAGAAUGUAUCAGACGAUGUGGAGUUGGGUGCCUGAGCUCAAAGCAAGCUGGGCCUUGGGCUGGCUGUGUGAUCUUGGGCAAGUUCGACCAGCUUCUUUGUGCCUCUUUUCUCUCCUUAAUAAGAUAAAUGUCUUCACUAGUACACUGAGGGCUGCCAUUAAGUUCUAUGUGCAGGGAUCCAAGGCAGGCCCUAGGUCUCUUGGUGAGUGCUACUCCUCCUUACAAUUUGCUGCCCGGAGCAACAUUGGGUGACAGAACUUCUUAGCACCUUGGCAGUCCUUGUCCUCCUGGACCCUCUGUUUUGAGGGUGGAAUGAGGUGAAGGGCAAGUGCUUUCCCAGCUGGUCAGGUGCUCUACCAACUGGGCAUAUUCUAAUCCCCCCAGAGUAUACAGAUCAGAGUUUGAUGUGGCCAAUGGGUCCAAUGCCCAAGUGAGAAUCUCUUGAUGAAGUUAUUGGUGUGGGGUUUUGCUUUGGUUUUUAAUUAUAGAGAGCAAAAGUAUUGAAAGUAUUACAUUUACCCUAAAGGUGUAAGCAAGUUAUGGUCAAGUGAAGAUGAAGUACCAUCCUCAAACACGGGUUCCAUUCUUAGCUCAUCUCAUUUAAAGGAGAGAAAAGCCUUGCAGGUGAAACAUGGUGGGGGUAGACAGGGGUUCAGCCAAUUUCAGUGUUUGGCCCCAAGAAGUGAAUUUGGGUUUGAGGACCUCUCUCUGGAAGGAUUUUAUGACCAGAUCUUCCUGGAGAUGAUAUUAGAAGCUUUUCUCACCAAAUAUUUAUUUGCCUGGGGUGCAACUUCUGCUUCAUUCUCUCUUUGACUCCAGCUGUCUUUUUGGACUGAAGUGCAGGUUGCUCACAGCAUCCUACAAAGUAACUGUCUUCCCAAAUCUCACUUACCUCUGAGUUUCUGCUGUAUUCCUGUCUUUCUCUCUCUCUUUUUGAACUGGAAUCUAUUACUUUGGAUGAUGCAUGCUGGCGUUUUCUAAAGUUUUCUGAUUGAUUGUGUCUUUAAAAAAUAAUCUGAUAGUAUUUUAGCUUCUUGAAUUUUGUGGCAUAUUUUUAGGCCUCUCCUAAACCCAUUUUUGAGUGCUAUGACAUUGUUCAUGUAUGAAGUUAUGCCAGUAGAAACAAAAUGCUGUCAUAUAGGCUCCCCUAAAACUUCAAAUCUGGUCCAGAUCUUAGACUGGCAGCUUCUGCUGUCAUUGGAUCUCAGUGAGACCUUUGCACCCAUUUCCUCCCUUUGUGAUUCAUCCACGGACAUCCCCAUCUCCUUGAGAACAAUCUCAGGAAUAUUCCUUGCCUUCUUUCGGCUCUCACUCCAUCUCAUUUUCUGCUGUUCACUCGGGAAUAAAGAGAUGUCCCACACUUUAAAGAGUAAAAACAAAAAUUGGAGCUCAGAGAGGGUGAACUUGUCAAUAUCACACAGAGCUGGGAGUGUGGUAAGCCCUUGAAAUGGGGCUCAAUGACACCGCUACCUCCCAGGGAUUCCUAAUGUCUGAGGGUUCCAGUGAGCUGAGAUGAACCCAGGGCCUAAGAAGAACUCUCUGACCUCCUCACCUCCAAAGCCCCACCCAGUGCACAUGGCCUGAGGCGUCCAUGGUGAUGGUAAAGAAACCUCACCUGCCAUCUCUCCCAUUACUGCCAUGUCCCCUCUCAUCCUAUUCUGUGCCAAAUGUCCAGAUGUGAUCAAUAGAAUCAGGAGAAAAUUGAGGCCUGAGGGGAGGGGGCCAGACUCUGGGAGUGGAGAGUGGAUUGAAGUCAGACUAGGGCUGUUCAGCAAGGAGUUCAGGGCCUUCAAGUGUUGGGAGCUUGGCAGCAAUGCCAAGGGGAAUGGGGGUGGAUUUGGGUCCAAGUUUAUGUUCGAAGAAUAUAAGCAUGAUUUGGAGACUCCUGAUGUUCAUAUG
Molecule: long non-coding RNA, 3591 nt
Filed under: Homo sapiens (human)
Lineage: Eukaryota; Metazoa; Chordata; Mammalia; Primates; Hominidae
Description: non-protein coding lnc-GPCPD1-8:13
Source: RNAcentral